Molecule: long non-coding RNA, 970 nt
Organism: Drosophila hydei
Lineage: Eukaryota; Metazoa; Arthropoda; Insecta; Diptera; Drosophilidae
Exons: 3
Source: RefSeq, a predicted model, not a curated record
UUUAAUAUUAAAGUUCACCAAUUAUUUUGAACCGACUUUUGCAUUUCGUUUCGUUCUGUUCUUUGUUUUCCAUUGUGACGCGAACAUUAUUUAUUUAUAGGUCUUCACGCAAUGUUUCGAAUAAAGAAUAGCGCCGACAUUGCUCCAUCCGAGUAAAAAGUGAACUCUAGCUUUAAAUUCUGAAAGUGGAGAACACUCAAAUGAAACCCCUUCUACGUGCAUUAAACAUUUGACGUGUACAUUGAAGUCCAGUAGUGGAAUGAAUUGCUCUAUGGGGUAGCUUCUGUCCUUAGACUUUGUUUGUGCUCGGACCUCUUCACAUUGAUAUAAGUUCAGGUCGGCUCAGAAAUCUUAAAAAAAAAUUUCAUUUGAAGUGUGUUGCAGAACUUCAUUAUUGAUUUCAUCCAUUGAAUGGUUCAAUUGAUCAUUAUCGAUUCGACUUGUUAAUAAACUUCCUAUGAAAUAAACGUCAAUUGAACUAUCGACAAACAACAAUCGUCGAAUUUACAUUUUUAAGACAAACACGAAUUUUCUUCGAGUAUAUAGUUUUAAGGGAUUUCAUUUCUGUUUACUACAGUCUUAGUUGUCGCACUUGCAUUGCUUUUCUAGGUUAUCCAAUCCUUUUGAGUGCAGUCUGAAGUGCUACAGAAAGUGUACAUACAAAUCAAAUUAGUUUAAGUGCUGCAAACACCAGCCACGGCUCGGAACCUGGACUACGACUGCGACUACGACUACGGCUCCGGCUAUGGCUCGGAUGGCGAGUACGGCUCCGCCUACGGAUUCUUGGCUGUGCAAGCUCAACCAGUCAACUUGAAUCGAUUUGAAAGCGCCAACUCAUGUAGCCAACGCACAACCCACUGUGCUCCAGUUUAAUCUAUCUCGGACUCACUGGCUGGCUGACUCACUGAGUGACAUGUCUGUCAGCCUGUCUUUGAGCGUGUGUAGCUCUGUCGGUUUCCCUCUCUCUAUU